Molecule: ribosomal RNA, 326 nt
Filed under: uncultured eukaryote
Lineage: Eukaryota
Description: partial 18S ribosomal RNA
Rfam family: Eukaryotic small subunit ribosomal RNA
Source: RNAcentral
CCCUUAGAUGUUCGGGGCCGCACGCGCGCUACACUGAUGGGGACAGCGUGUUUGCCAUUCCUGGUCCGGCAGGAUUGGGCAAUCCGUUGAACCCCCGUCGUGAUUGGGAUCGGAGCUUGUAACUAUUCUCCGUAAACGAGGAAUUCCCAGUAAGCGCAAGUCAUCAGCUUGCGUUGAUUACGUCCCUGCCCUUUGUACACACCGCCCGUCGCUCCUACCGAUUGGGUGAUCCGGUGAAUGAUUCGGACUCUGGCUAUGCUAGCUACUAGCUACGUCAGGGAAAGUUUUGUGAACCUUAUCACUUGGAGGAAGGAGAAGUCGUAACA